RNAcentral lists this ribosomal RNA (239 nucleotides) under Blastocystis sp. RNAcentral's name for it is "partial 18S ribosomal RNA". It matches the Rfam family "Eukaryotic small subunit ribosomal RNA", at positions 87 to 348 of the family's 1831-position model. The record is from RNAcentral. Lineage: Eukaryota; Bigyra; Opalinata; Blastocystidae.
CUGCGAAUGGCUCAUUAUAUCAGUUAUAGUUUAUUUGAGAAGUCCUAAUUGGAUAACCGUAGUAAUUCUAGAGCUAAUAAAGAAAAAAGUCUUGUAGACUGCAUUUAUUAGAAUGAAAACCAUAGGUUUCGGCCUAUUCGUGAGUAAUAAUAACUAAUCAUAUCGUAUGCUUAUGUAACGAUGUGUCUUUCAAGUUUCUGCCCUAUCAGCUUUCGAUGGUAGUGUAUUGGACUACCAUG